AACAAAACAAAAGCAACUUUCCGAGAUGGGUGGAAUUUCAAUUCAUUUUUCAUAUUGGAGAAAGUUGCAAAUAUGUAUCUUUAAUUAUGGAAAUUGAUGAUGCAAUCAAGUGAAAAACAAAAAUAAGACACAAGUCUUUUUUAGUGCAGGCUGACAGUGAGUUGUUUUCUUUUCUUUUUUGAGCAUAAAAGAAUAGCAAUUUCAUUAAGGGAACACAGAGGACAAAGGAACAUCAGCAAGAACCUAAUGACAAUUCUAAGGCAAGUUAUAGUGACUAUGCAUUGCUCUUACAAAUAUCAACUUGGCAAACAUUAAGCAAAUGUUUUCCUACUCCAUUUCCAUCUCAACUAACCUAAAAUCAUUGUAUAUAACCUGGCCCCAGAUAUCAACCCAGUCAAGAAAUUACCGAUUCAACCA
This 417-nucleotide unclassified non-coding RNA is filed under the name Hevea brasiliensis (rubber tree). The record is from RNAcentral. Lineage: Eukaryota; Viridiplantae; Streptophyta; Magnoliopsida; Malpighiales; Euphorbiaceae.